AUUUUCUCUGGCUCAAAGGUUGAUAAGCUAUGUCUUGGAGAAGUUAAAUAGCAUUUCCAAAUUCACAUUAUGCAUCGUGGCAGAUCCAGGUGAGGGGCCAAGCAUUCUGACUUCUCGUGUUUUCUCUCUGCAUAUAAUCCAGAUGCUGAAAGCACAUUCUGUGGGCAGCUGCAUCCUUGAACAUUGUCUGGAGCCUGCUCUAUUUUGAAAGAACUCUUUGCUGCAUGCUCUAGGGCACAGAUGGAGGCAGCAUCAUAGGUGGGUUAAGCAGUUACCUCCUCUUUGGCACAACCUGCUAAGCUAACCUGAGUACUCCCAACCAUUAUUCCACAAGCCUCUACCGAGUGCCUCCUGUAUGACAAGUGUCAUAGAACUCACAUCAACAGGAUGCAUUUCCUGGAGGCACAGUUCAAUAGAGAGCUGGGGGUGAAAAAAAAAGAGAGAAAAGAAAAAAUAAGAAAGCUAUAACAUUUGAGCUUGAAAUGUCACAGGGAGCCAAGGAAGUUGUCUGAUGGAUUGCCCUGUCAUCUCCAAGCCAAAAGAAAAAAAAUUUCAGAUCCAUCAAUUUGUUCCUGCCCUUUUAAUCCAAGCAAUACUUUACAGCAUCAGAAUGCAAAGAAAUUAUUUUCUUAGACGAAUCCUCAUGUGGACUGCUGAGCACUUAACCAGAAAACAGCAAGAGAGAACUGUAGGUUGUUCAAGUGUCUGCACAUCUGAUUGAUCCAGAUUGAAUGUACAAUAUACUGGAACACAUAUGAGAGCCUACUGGUGACAUAUGUUCAUUCAUUCAUCCAUGUGGAGUUGACAUCGCUUUGCCAUAGACAAUGAAUUUGAAGAGACACCUGUGUACAUGUGCACCAGCUGCCCAGGUUGAGGACUGCUCCUGCCUGCUCUGGACCUGCUCCUCCCUUUGGCUGGCUUUCCAAUUAGUGUAGACAUGUUCUCCCAUAUCCUAGCCUCUCUUUGGGCCACAUUUGAGGAUACCACCAACCAACCCUUGGAUCAAAUGCUUGGCUCUUGGGCUCAGACCCUGUAGGGAUAUAGCUUUAUUUGCAAAGUAGGCUGAAAGACUCCCUCUCUUGACAAGGAAAGCUGAUUGGCAGUAUGAAGAGUACACUGCAGAAGUUUUGAGGAGGACAAGCACUUACGAUGGCUUUACAGGGAUGGCUGCCCAAGUGAGAUAGAAUUUAACAUGACAAAAUGAAGGCACAGAGAAAUGAUAUAGCUUGCUCAAGGUCAUACAGAAGUGGUCGAUCUGGGAUUUGAACCCAUGUCAUCUGAUGGCAGAGCCUUCACAAGCCUGGCAUGUAUUGCUUGCUAGUGAUUCCAUAUCUACCUGUCUGUAAUUUCUGUCUAAUUCCAUUUUCUGUAGGAAUUCAAAUCAGUAAACAAAAAAUUUUUUGC
RNAcentral lists this long non-coding RNA (1404 nucleotides) under Homo sapiens (human). Its description in RNAcentral is "HSALNT0035861". The record is from RNAcentral. Lineage: Eukaryota; Metazoa; Chordata; Mammalia; Primates; Hominidae.